ACAGUUCUCUGUUUGCAUUUACUUGCCAGAACAUCUGUUGGAAUCUACUUCUGCAGAAGACCAGGUGAAACAACUAGCCUCAAAGGACUGAGUAACUACUAGACUAUUGGAUUUCCCAUCCACAGCUGCCCAUUAGUUGGACUACAGACUAAGCAGAGGUACCGUGAUUGGAGAAACUCCCCGAGGACUAAGAGAACAGCUUCUUCACUUGUUCAUUGAACAGGAAGAGAAGAUGUUGGAACAGAAAGUUUUAAACAAAUACUACCCACCUGACUUUGACUCAGCGAAGAUCCUGAAACUCAAGCUACCAAAGGACCGGCAGUAUGUGGUGCAGCUGAUGGCCCUCUUCAACAUGAGGUUUAAGACAUGUGGAGAAUACAUCCACAAGGGGAAGAAGUUCAACACGCAAAAGGAAACAGUCCAGAGCGAGGCAUAACUGGGCCUGCCAAUCUUCCGAUUCUACAUCAAGUGCACAUGCUGCUUGGCCGAGAUCAUCUUCAAGACAGACCAGAGAACACGGACUACACCUUAGAGCACGGGGCCACGCGCAACGGCCGGGAAGCUUCUGGAAGAGGAGGAGAAGCGCGUGCAGAAGGAGUGAGAGGAUGAGGAACUGAACAACCCCAUGAAGGUCCUAGAGAUCCGGACGAAGGACUCCAAGCUGGAGAUGGAAGUGCUGGAAAACCUGCAAGAGACCUGAACCGGCGGCAGGCGCACAUGGACUUUGAGGCCAUGCUGCGGCAACACCGCCUGUCUCAGGAGCAGUGGUGACAGCAGCAGGAGGAGGAAGAAAAGCAGGAGACAGCGACCUUGCUGGAGGAGGCUUGUCAUUGAAGGCUUCCGGAGGACUCUGACUCAGAGGAUGAGGCUCCACCUUCCCGACCACAGGCAGCUGUAAGACCCAACCCCACAGCCAUCCUCGACAAGGUACCAAAGACCAAGAGGAAAAACAGAGGCCCUGUGCAGCAAAGCACAGUUGGCAGGCUUGGUUGUACCAAAGAAGGUAAUGACGGAGGCCAGCAGGGGCUCAGAGCAAGCAGGUCCGGGUGCCAGCCGCUGGUGCCCCCAAGAGCAGAAACGUGGCCAACCCUACACCCCAGACACCUGGUGCCUCCUCUCUGAGCUAGCUGGGUGCAUAUGGGCACAUCGAGGACAGAGAGACAGCUGAGCACCACUGAUGCUCACCCUAGCAUCAUAGACCCAAGAAAUGAGGAAAUGGGAUCAAGGAAACACCUUCAGCAAAGGCCUCUGGACCAUUUCUGCCAUGGGUCCUGACAAGGUGUGGAGAAGCAAUGUACCCAGGCACCCCAGGACAGAAAGCCUGGUCCACUCCUUCAGGCCUUGAGUUGUGUGGAGCCUGUUGGCUGGUCCCUUCCUGCCACAGAUCUAAACACUGACAUGGAACAGGGGACAGUGACAAUGGGCACCAUCUCCCAACCAUACACAAGGUCUGGGGCUUCACCUGCAUGCAAGACAGUAGUACUGUAAAAAAAAAACCAAGAAUAGAAAAUGAUUUGAAAAGCAAACAACAAAAAAGCAGUUACCCAUUAUGCCUAAGCCAUGUUGGGUGCCACCUGUAGGCAUGAAUUUUUUGCAACCUAAUUUUGAUAGGGUUCAACCUCUUCUCUAGCCCACCACCCAGCAAGAGGUAGUGGAAGACAAAAGUUAUUAGAAUAGGGGGAAGUGGACCUGUUCAGCAAUAGUUCUUUGGGGACAAGCUUGGUCUUCUUGGGCAGCAUUUCAGUCCUGUAGCAAACAUCAUGACUCAGCAGCGGCAGACCCGUCCUCUAGGCAGGCAGAUGCCAGGCAGCUGUAGUUCAAUCCUGAAGAAACUGCCAGGCUCUUCAUCUGGCUUUAGGAGAGGCCACAGAGGCGGCGAGGAACCUCAUGAGCCAUUCUUGGGUGAGUUUCUCUCAAUGGCAGCGUUAUCACCAGCUCAGCUCAACAGCACUGUGUAAGGUGACACCAAUGCAUUCGUGUCUUGAGCGAAGAAAGCAAACCAAACCAAGGCUCACUGCUCAUCUCCCACUGGUCUGUGGGGGCAUAUUUAUACUCCUUCAUCAAGUGUCCUUUCACGUGUUUGCCUUAGCAAGACGUCCUUUCACCUGUGUGCCCCAGCAAAACAUCGUUUGACAUAACUAACUCUCCAAAGAACUAGAGGAUUCCAGUUUAUGUGGGUAUGGGGUUGGGGAUUGGGAGGGGCUAGUUAGUGAGUGUCAUCAGAGUGAAGUUGCCCCAUCUUUGAGGACUUUUACAAGUCAAACAAGAUAAAAGGGAUAGUGUUGAUAGGUUGGAAUGGUACCUGAUAUAUGGUACUAUGAAGUAAGUAGUACUUAUUUUAUUUUGUCAUUAUCAUUGGUGGCACAGCUAUCUAUCUUGUAGUAUCAUUGUGAGCAGAGUAUUAAAUGAAAUGAAAUAACAAAGUUCCUAGCAGAUACCCUGAGACACAAGACUCAGCUGGAAUUAAUUCCUGUCCUCCUUCUGAGGGUUCCUUCCCAAUCCAGUCCACUCCGUGAAGCUUUCCCCUGCUUUCAUGCCCCCUGGCUCACAACAUGGAGACACUUUUGUUAUUUUGGGACCUCAUGGGUGAAGCAUGACUACCAAGGAUACAGGUUGUUGUGGGAGACCUGACUUCUUCCCACUGAGUUUCAGGGAAGCAAGUAAGCUUGCCUAGAGGUAGCAUCCCAGACAACAGAUGCUGAAGUUGAGCUCUCUGUGCUCCUUUAGUUAAGAAUAGCCCCAUGUGCUUGUAUGGAUGAAUAUUUGGUCCCAAAUUAGUGAACUAUUUUGGGAGAGGAGAUGUCGCCUUGUUGAAGGAGGUGUGUCAAUGGGAGUAGGCUUUGGAGUUUCAAAAACCCAUGCCUAGUACUACCUGAGGAUCCAGAUAUACCACUCUCCUGGGCAUUAUACCCAGAAGAUGUUCCAUCAUGUAAUAAGAACACAUGCUCCACUAUGUUCAUAGCAGCCUUAUUUAUAAUAGCUAGAAGCUGGAAAGAACCCAGAUGUCCCUCAAUAAAGGAAUGGUUACCGACAAUGUGAUACAUUUACACAAUGGAGUACUACUCAGCUAUUAAAAACAAUGAAUUUAUGAAGUUCUUAGACAAAUAGAACUAGAAAAUCCUG
RNAcentral lists this long non-coding RNA (3123 nucleotides) under Mus musculus (house mouse). Its description in RNAcentral is "predicted gene 7598". Lineage: Eukaryota; Metazoa; Chordata; Mammalia; Rodentia; Muridae. The record is from RNAcentral.